GAGUUUGAUCCUGGCUCAGAACGUACGCUGGCGGCACGCCUAACACAUGCAAGUCGAACGCAGUAGCAAUACUGAGUGGCAAACGGGUGAGUAUAAUGUGGGAAUCUGCCUUUUGGUUUGGAAUAACACGGGGAAACUUGUGCUAAUACCGAAUAAGCCCUUACGGGGAAAGUUUUAACGCCGAAAGAUGAGCCCGCACUUGAUUAGCUAGUUGGUAAGGUAAAAGCUUACCAAGGCAACGAUCAAUAGCUGUUCUUAGAGGAAGACCAGCCACAUUGGGACUGAGACACGGCCCAGACUCCUACGGGAGGCAGCAGUGGGGAAUCUUGCACAAUGGGGGAAACCCUGAUGCAGCGAUGCCGCGUGAGUGAAGAAGGCCUUUGGGUUGUAAAACUCUUUCGUCGGGGAAGAAAAUGACUGUACCCGAAUAAGAAGGUCCGGCUAACUUCGUGCCAGCAGCCGCGGUAAUACGAAGGGACCUAGCGUAGUUCGGAAUUACUGGGCUUAAAGAGCUCGUAAGUGGUUAAAAAAGUUGAUGGUGAAAUCCCAA
RNAcentral lists this ribosomal RNA (550 nucleotides) under uncultured bacterium. Its description in RNAcentral is "bacterial SSU rRNA". It matches the Rfam family "Bacterial small subunit ribosomal RNA", at positions 9 to 605 of the family's 1533-position model. The record is from RNAcentral.